This 361-nucleotide ribosomal RNA is filed under the name uncultured bacterium. RNAcentral's name for it is "bacterial SSU rRNA". It matches the Rfam family "Bacterial small subunit ribosomal RNA", at positions 546 to 905 of the family's 1533-position model. The record is from RNAcentral.
CGGAAUCAUUGGGCGUAAAGCGCGCGCAGGCGGUCCUUUAAGUCUGAUGUGAAAGCCCACGGCUCAACCGUGGAGGGUCAUUGGAAACUGGGGGACUUGAGUGCAGAAGAGGAAAGCGGAAUUCCAAGUGUAGCGGUGAAAUGCGUAGAGAUUUGGAGGAACACCAGUGGCGAAGGCGGCUUUCUGGUCUGUAACUGACGCUGAGGCGCGAAAGCGUGGGGAGCAAACAGGAUUAGAUACCCUGGUAGUCCACGCCGUAAACGAUGAGUGCUAAGUGUUAGGGGGUUUCCGCCCCUUAGUGCUGCAGCUAACGCAUUAAGCACUCCGCCUGGGGAGUACGGUCGCGAGACUGAAACUCAAA